RNAcentral lists this ribosomal RNA (561 nucleotides) under Wickerhamiella pararugosa. RNAcentral describes it as "LSU rRNA". It matches the Rfam family "Eukaryotic large subunit ribosomal RNA", at positions 52 to 655 of the family's 3401-position model. Lineage: Eukaryota; Fungi; Ascomycota; Dipodascomycetes; Dipodascales; Trichomonascaceae. The record is from RNAcentral.
GGAGGAAAAGAAACCAACAGGGAUUCCCUUAGUAACGGCGAGUGAACCGGGAAAAGCUCAAAUUUGAAAUCUGCCAACAGGCCGAGUUGUAAUUUGUAGAUGGCUACACUGCAUAAUAGUAGAUGCUCAARUUCUUUGGAAAAAGACAUCAUGGAGGGUGACAAUCCCGUGAGGCAUGUUACUAGGAGCAUAUAGUGGGCUUUCUAAGAGUCGAGUUGUUUGGGAAUGCAGCUCAAAGUGCGUGGUGAAUACCAUGUAAAGCUAAAUAUGGACGAGAGACCGAUAGCGAACAAGUACUGUGAAGGAAAGAUGAAAAGCACUCCGAAAGGAGAGUGAAAUAGUACGUGAAAUUGUUAAAGUGGAAGGGCUUGAGAUCAGAAUUGGUAGUUUGGGUUCCACGUCCUCUUGGGGGCGUGUACUCCCUUUCCACCGGGCCAGCGGGAGUUUCGUCUCUUGGGUAAAAGCAGUGGAAUGUAGCAGCUUGUCUGUAUUAUAGCCUCUGUUCAUACAAGACGUCGAGACUUGUUUUUGUUGGCGUAAUGAUCUCUAGCCACCCGUCUU